RNAcentral lists this ribosomal RNA (539 nucleotides) under uncultured bacterium. Its description in RNAcentral is "partial 16S ribosomal RNA". It matches the Rfam family "Bacterial small subunit ribosomal RNA", at positions 355 to 902 of the family's 1533-position model. The record is from RNAcentral.
UGGGGAAUAUUGCACAAUGGGCGAAAGCCUGAUGCAGCGACGCCGCGUGAGGGAUGACGGCCUUCGGGUUGUAAACCUCUUUCAGCAGGGAAGAAGCGAAAGUGACGGUACCUGCAGAAGAAGCGCCGGCUAACUACGUGCCAGCAGCCGCGGUAAUACGUAGGGCGCAAGCGUUGUCCGGAAUUAUUGGGCGUAAAGAGCUCGUAGGCGGUUAGUCGCGUCUGCUGUGAAAACUCGAGGCUCAACCUCGGGCUUGCAGUGGGUACGGGCUGACUAGAGUGCGGUAGGGGUGACUGGAAUUCCUGGUGUAGCGGUGGAAUGCGCAGAUAUCAGGAGGAACACCGAUGGCGAAGGCAGGUCACUGGGCCGCAACUGACGCUGAGGAGCGAAAAGCAUGGGGAGCGAACAGGAUUAGAUACCCUGGUAGUCCAUGCCGUAAACGUUGGGCACUAGGUGUGGGGUCCAUUCCACGGAUUCCGUGCCGCAGCAAACGCAUUAAGUGCCCCGCCUGGGGAGUACGGCCGCAAGGCUAAAAACUC